This 73-nucleotide transfer RNA is filed under the name Salmo salar (Atlantic salmon). It matches the Rfam family "tRNA". From Rfam's summary of the family: Transfer RNA (tRNA) molecules are approximately 80 nucleotides in length. Their secondary structure includes four short double-helical elements and three loops (D, anti-codon, and T loops). Lineage: Eukaryota; Metazoa; Chordata; Actinopteri; Salmoniformes; Salmonidae. The record is from Rfam by way of RNAcentral. RNAcentral also lists the same sequence under 1 other name.
GCAACUGUGACUCAGUUGGUAGAGAAUGGCGCUUGCAACGUUAAGCUUGCGGGUUCAAUUCCUGCUGGGGCCA